RNAcentral lists this long non-coding RNA (316 nucleotides) under Vigna radiata. Its description in RNAcentral is "long non-coding RNA (VRAD_LNC016778)". Lineage: Eukaryota; Viridiplantae; Streptophyta; Magnoliopsida; Fabales; Fabaceae. The record is from RNAcentral.
AAGAUGAAUAGUUUUUUUAAUUAUAAUUUUAUAUCUCAAGACUUCGUGUACUCAAAUAUUAUUUUAGUCUUUAAUUUUUAGUUUCAUCUCAUCCUCUAACCCAAUAAUCCUCAUUAUUGCCUAAUCCAUGUGUAUCAUUNCAUCAAAUGAGUGACAUUGNUAUUGCCUUUAGGUUACUAUCCAUCCUUCUUUUAAAAUCCUUGUAUCCUUUGGAUAGAUAUAAUUGUUCUCUAUCAUUCAUUUGGACCAGUUGGUAUAGUCUUACUCUUUCUUUUUUCUUAAAAUUUGCAUGUUAGUUUCAUUGAUGCCAUGGUGU